UAUGGUAUAACUUAGUGGCAGACGGGUGAGUAAUGUAUAGGAAUCUACCUAAUAGUACGGAAUAAUUGUUGGAAACGGCAACUAAUACCGUAUACGCCCUACGGGGGAAAAAUUUAUUGCUAUUAGAUGAGCCUAUAUUAGAUUAGCUAGUUGGUGGAGUAAUAGCCUACCAAGGCAAUGAUCUAUAGCUGAUCUGAGAGGAUGAUCAGCCACACUGGAACUGAGAUACGGUCCAGACUCCUACGGGAGGCAGCAGUGGGGAAUAUUGGACAAUGGGCGAAAGCCUGAUCCAGCCAUGCCGCAUGAGUGAAGAAGGCCUUUGGGUUGUAAAGCUCUUUUAGUGAGGAAGAUAAUGACGGUACUCACAGAAGAAGUCCUGGCUAACUCCGUGCCAGCAGCCGCGGUAAUACGGAGAGGGCUAGCGUUAUUCGGAAUUAUUGGGCGUAAAGGGCGCGUAGGCGGAUUAGUAAGUUAAAAGUGAAAUCCCAAGGCUCAACCUUGGAAUUGCUUUUAAAACUGCUAAUCUAGAGAUUGAAAGAGGAUAGAGGAAUUCCUAGUGUAGAGGUGAAAUUUGUAAAUAUUAGGAGGAACACCAGUGGCGAAGGCGUCUAUUUGGUUCAAAUCUGACGCUGAGGCGCGAAGGCGUGGGGAGCAAACAGGAUUAGAUACCCUGGUAGUCCACGCUGUAAACGAUGAAUGUUAAAUAUGGGAAGUUUUACUUUCUGUAUUACAGCUAACGCGUUAAACAUUCCGCCUGGGGACUACGGUCGCAAGAUUAAAACUCAAAGGAAUUGACGGGGACCCGCACAAGCGGUGGAGCAUGUGGUUUAAUUCGAUGCAACGCGAAAAACCUUACCACUCCUUGACAUGAAAAU
Molecule: ribosomal RNA, 875 nt
Filed under: Wolbachia endosymbiont of Oropsylla silantiewi
Lineage: Bacteria; Pseudomonadati; Pseudomonadota; Alphaproteobacteria; Rickettsiales; Anaplasmataceae
Description: bacterial SSU rRNA
Rfam family: Bacterial small subunit ribosomal RNA
Source: RNAcentral